RNAcentral lists this unclassified non-coding RNA (550 nucleotides) under Xylella fastidiosa. Its description in RNAcentral is "contains 16S-23S intergenic spacer region". It matches the Rfam family "Bacterial small subunit ribosomal RNA", at positions 126 to 671 of the family's 1533-position model. The record is from RNAcentral. RNAcentral also lists the same sequence under 1 other name. Lineage: Bacteria; Pseudomonadati; Pseudomonadota; Gammaproteobacteria; Lysobacterales; Lysobacteraceae.
CUACCUUAUCGUGGGGGAUAACGUAGGGAAACUUACGCUAAUACCGCAUACGACCUACGGGUGAAAGCAGGGGACCUUAGGGCCUUGUGCGAUUGGAUGAGCCGAUGUCCGAUUAGCUAGUUGGUGAGGUAAAGGCUCACCAAGGCGACGAUCGGUAGCUGGUCUGAGAGGAUGAUCAGCCACACUGGAACUGAGACACGGUCCAGACUCCUACGGGAGGCAGCAGUGGGGAAUAUUGGACAAUGGGCGCAAGCCUGAUCCAGCUAUGCCGCGUGGGUGAAGAAUGCCUUCGGGUUGUAAAGCCCUUUUGUUGGGGAAGAAAAGCAAUUGGUUAAUACCUAGUUGUUAUGACGGUACCCAAAGAAUAUGCACCGGCUAACUUCGUGCCAGCAGCCGCGGUAAUACGAAGGGUGCAAGCGUUACUCGGAAUUACUGGGCGUAAAGGGUGCGUAGGUGGUUAUUUAAGUCUGUUGUGAAAGCCCUGGGCUUAACCUGGGAAUGGCAGUGGAUACUGGAUAGCUAGAGUGUGGUAGAGGGUAGCGGAAUUCCU